AUGAACGCUGGCGGCGUGCCUAAUACAUGCAGGUCGAGCGAACAGACGAGGAGCUUGCUCCUCUGACGUUAGCGGCGGACGGGUGAGUAACACGUGGAUAACCUACCUAUAAGACUGGGAUAACUUCGGGAAACCGGAGCUAAUACCGGAUAAUAUAUUGAACCGCAUGGUUCAAUAGUGAAAGACGGUCUUGCUGUCACUUAUAGAUGGAUCCGCGCCGCAUUAGCUAGUUGGUAAGGUAACGGCUUACCAAGGCGACGAUGCGUAGCCGACCUGAGAGGGUGAUCGGCCACACUGGAACUGAGACACGGUCCAGACUCCUACGGGAGGCAGCAGUAGGGAAUCUUCCGCAAUGGGCGAAAGCCUGACGGAGCAACGCCGCGUGAGUGAUGAAGGUCUUCGGAUCGUAAAACUCUGUUAUUAGGGAAGAACAAAUGUGUAAGUAACUAUGCACGUCUUGACGGUACCUAAUCAGAAAGCCACGGCUAACUACGUG
RNAcentral lists this ribosomal RNA (496 nucleotides) under uncultured bacterium. RNAcentral describes it as "partial 16S ribosomal RNA". It matches the Rfam family "Bacterial small subunit ribosomal RNA", at positions 29 to 507 of the family's 1533-position model. The record is from RNAcentral.